This 253-nucleotide ribosomal RNA is filed under the name uncultured bacterium. RNAcentral's name for it is "partial 16S ribosomal RNA". It matches the Rfam family "Bacterial small subunit ribosomal RNA", at positions 524 to 776 of the family's 1533-position model. The record is from RNAcentral.
UACGUAGGCAGCGAGCGUUGUUCGGAGUUACUGGGCGUAAAGCGUGCGUAGGCGGUGUUCCAAGUCUGUUGUGAAAUCUCCCGGCUUAACUGGGAGGGUGCGGCGGAAACUGGAACGCUGGAGUAUGGGAGAGGUGAGCGGAAUUCCAGGUGUAGCGGUGAAAUGCGUAGAUAUCUGGAGGAACACCGGUGGCGAAGGCGGCAUCCUGGACCAAUAUUGACGCUGAGGAGCGAAAGCCAGGGGAGCAAACGGG